Molecule: ribosomal RNA, 326 nt
Filed under: Roseicella frigidaeris
Lineage: Bacteria; Pseudomonadati; Pseudomonadota; Alphaproteobacteria; Acetobacterales; Roseomonadaceae
Description: bacterial SSU rRNA
Rfam family: Bacterial small subunit ribosomal RNA
Source: RNAcentral
CUGGAGGAACUGCCGGUGACAAGCCGGAGGAAGGUGGGGAUGACGUCAAGUCCUCAUGGCCCUUAUGGGCUGGGCUACACACGUGCUACAAUGGCGGUGACAGUGGGACGCCAGGCUGCGAAGCCGAGCCGAUCCCCAAAAGCCGUCUCAGUUCGGAUCGCACUCUGCAACUCGGGUGCGUGAAGGUGGAAUCGCUAGUAAUCGCGGAUCAGCACGCCGCGGUGAAUACGUUCCCGGGCCUNCUGCCACGGUAGGGUCAGUGACUGGGGUGAAGUCGUAACAAGGUAGCCGUAGGGGAACCUGCGGCUGGAUCACCUCCUUUCAAG